GGUACGGGCUCUGAGAGGAGGGCCCNGGAGAUGGGUACUGAGACACGGACCCAGGCCCUAUGGGGCGCAGCAGGCGAGAAACCUUUGCAAUGUGCGAAAGCACGACAAGGUUAAUCCGAGUGUCUCCUGCUAAAGGAGUCUUUUGUCAGUUGUAGAAUCACUGGUGAAUAAGGGGUGGGCAAGUUCUGGUGUCAGCCGCCGCGGUAAAACCAGCACCUCGAGUGGUCAGGAGGUUUAUUGGGCCUAAAGCAUCCGUAGCCGGUUGCAUAAGUUUUCGGUUAAAUCUAUGCGCUUAACGUAUAGGCCGCCGAAAAUACUGUGCAGCUAGGGAGUGGGAGAGGUACACGGUACUCGAUAGGAAGGGGUAAAAUCCUUUGAUCUAUUGAAGACCACCUGUGGCGAAGGCGGUGUACCAGAACACGUUCGACGGUGAGGGAUGAAAGCUGGGGGAGCAAACCGGAUUAGAUACCCGGGUAGUCCCAGCUGUAAACGAUGCAGACUCGGUGAUGCAUUGGCUUGUGGCCAAUGCAGUGCCGCAGGGAAGCCGUUAAGUCUGCCGCCUGGGAAGUACGUACGCAAGUAUGAACUAAAGGAAUUGGCGGGGGAGCACCACAAGGGGUGAAGCCUGCGGUUCAAUUGGAGUCAACGCA
Molecule: ribosomal RNA, 650 nt
Filed under: uncultured archaeon
Lineage: Archaea
Description: bacterial SSU rRNA
Rfam family: Archaeal small subunit ribosomal RNA
Source: RNAcentral